Dendronephthya gigantea is the source of this 211-nucleotide long non-coding RNA. RefSeq lists it as uncharacterized. The transcript is spliced from 3 exons. The record is from RefSeq and is a predicted model, not a curated record. NCBI's taxonomy places the organism in Eukaryota, Metazoa, Cnidaria, Anthozoa, Malacalcyonacea, Nephtheidae.
AAUGUUUUAUUGUGUUCCUCGUAUGAUGAAACGCUUAUAAAGAUCAGAAUUCCUAUAUGGAAACACUCUGUGGUACACCAAGUUACCUCGCUACCAAAAUGUUAAUCCCGUAGCCUGAAGAACGAUCCUACAAGAAAUCGUGUGACUGCUGGAGCCUGGGAGUUAUACUAUAUGUUUGCAGGCAAAUAACCCAUUGGAGAAACAAGUCAAA